Molecule: ribosomal RNA, 392 nt
Filed under: uncultured bacterium
Lineage: Bacteria
Description: partial 16S ribosomal RNA
Rfam family: Bacterial small subunit ribosomal RNA
Source: RNAcentral
AUACGGAGGAUCCGAGCGUUAUCCGGAUUUAUUGGGUUUAAAGGGUGCGCAGGCGGCCAUUUAAGUCAGCGGUUAAAUCGUGGGGCUCAACCCCAUUCUGCCGUUGAUACUGGGUGGCUUGAUUGCGGUCGAGGUUGGCGGAAUUCGUUGUGUAGCGGUGAAAUGCAUAGAUAUGACGAAGAACACCGAUUGCGUAGGUAGCUUACCAGACCGCAAAUGACGCUCAUGCACGAAAGUGCGGGGAUCGAACAGGAUUAGAUACCCUGGUAGUCCGCACAGUAAACGACGAAUACUUGUUGUCGGCGAUAUAAUGUCGGAGGGAAAGCGAAAGCGACAAGUAUUGCACCUGUGGAGUGCGCCGGCAACGGUGAAACUCAAAUGAAUUGACGGGG